GCUUUACUGUAUCUUGGAAUUGAAUUUGGGUUUAUUUUGCGCAGUAUAGGUGGGAGGCUAUGAUAUUAUAUUUGAGGAUAUAAAGGAGCCAUCAGUGAGAUACCACUCUAAUUAAACUAAAAUUCUAAUCUUGAUGCCGUUAUCCGGCCAAGAGACAUUUUCAGGUGGGCAGUUUGACUGGGGCGGUCGCCUCCUAAAAGGUAACGGAGGCGUGCAAAGGUUUUCUCAGGCUGGUCGGAAAUCAGUCGUAGAGUGUAAAGGCAUAAGAAAGCUUGACUGCGAGACCUACAAGUCGAGCAGAGACGAAAGUCGGCCUUAGUGAUCCGACAGUUCUGAGUGGAAAGGCUGUCGCUCAACGGAUAAAAGUUA
Molecule: ribosomal RNA, 369 nt
Filed under: Polysiphonia sp.
Lineage: Eukaryota; Rhodophyta; Florideophyceae; Ceramiales; Rhodomelaceae
Description: bacterial LSU rRNA
Rfam family: Bacterial large subunit ribosomal RNA
Source: RNAcentral